CUGCUCUAAGAAUUGCACCUGGAGAGUUUACAGUACUCUGCCAGUAUCGAUUAUGGGAGGGAGAGUCAAACAGAGACAUAUCCAUCCCAUUCCUAGCUUGGGCAGUGGUUAGCGAGUGGAAGGCAAUCUGCUACAAGU
RNAcentral lists this small nucleolar RNA (138 nucleotides) under Ornithorhynchus anatinus (platypus). The record is from RNAcentral. Lineage: Eukaryota; Metazoa; Chordata; Mammalia; Monotremata; Ornithorhynchidae.